GAGACUGUAGCUCAGAUGGAUAGAGCAACGUAAAAACACUUUAUUAGGUUUUAAUCUGCUAUGGCAGGUGUGAUGAUAGAGUUACUUCGCAUUCCACGCCGUAGGUCGCCGGUUCGAGUCCGGCCAGUCUUU
This 132-nucleotide transfer RNA is filed under the name Chryseobacterium arthrosphaerae. RNAcentral describes it as "tRNA-OTHER". It matches the Rfam family "tRNA". Rfam says of the family: Transfer RNA (tRNA) molecules are approximately 80 nucleotides in length. Their secondary structure includes four short double-helical elements and three loops (D, anti-codon, and T loops). The record is from RNAcentral. Lineage: Bacteria; Pseudomonadati; Bacteroidota; Flavobacteriia; Flavobacteriales; Weeksellaceae.